This 140-nucleotide small nuclear RNA is filed under the name Cervus hanglu yarkandensis (Yarkand deer). Its description in RNAcentral is "U2 spliceosomal RNA (ENSCHYG00000017802.1)". It matches the Rfam family "U2 spliceosomal RNA". From Rfam's summary of the family: U2 is a small nuclear RNA (snRNA) component of the spliceosome (involved in pre-mRNA splicing). Complementary binding between U2 snRNA (in an area lying towards the 5' end but 3' to hairpin I) and the branchpoint sequence (BPS) of the intron results the bulging out of an unpaired adenosine, on the BPS, which initiates a nucleophilic attack at the intronic 5' splice site, thus starting the first of two transesterification reactions that mediate splicing. The record is from Rfam by way of RNAcentral. Lineage: Eukaryota; Metazoa; Chordata; Mammalia; Artiodactyla; Cervidae.
GUCGCUUCUCAGCCUUUUGGCUAAGAUCAAGUGUAGUAUCUGUUCUUAUCAGUUUAAAAAAUCAGAAACAUGACUAUUAAGACAUCAACAAUGUUCACACCUAUCAGAUUGAUAAUAAUUAAAAGAAAUAGACAACCUUA